Non-coding RNA from Odocoileus virginianus texanus, 4275 nucleotides. NCBI's taxonomy places the organism in Eukaryota, Metazoa, Chordata, Mammalia, Artiodactyla, Cervidae. The record is from RefSeq and is a predicted model, not a curated record.
CCACUCCCACACUUUUCCCGGGUAGGAGAACUGGUCGUAGAGCCGGAAGGGAGGGAGCCUUCGCGUUUGAGACAGCGGCGGCGUUUCAGACAGAGCGGUCUAGUGCCAGUGGAGCUGGCCAGCUUCUGCAUUCGGGCUCCAUCCCGAGGUGGAGAGAAACCCCAGGAUUCUGGUGGCCCUUGGUAGGCGCAGAGUCGGAUAGCCAAGUACCCGUUGCAGACUGAAAUAGCCGAGCCAGUGAGGGCCACCGGAAGCCCCGCCCCUGGGAGGAGUCGGGAAGCCGCGCCGAGGAGGUAGGAACCCAAAGAGGCGGCCCCUGGGGUGGAGUCCGCCGGCCAUGGCCACACCCCCGGGGGCCGGUCCCGCUGCUCUUCGCUUUGUAGCUGCUGCCAGCUGGCAGGUCAUUCGCGGACGCUGCGUGGAGCAUUUUCCCCGAGUAUUGGAGUUUCUGCGAUACCUGCGCGCUGCUGCCCCUGGCUUGGUUCGCUACCGGCAUCAUGAACGCCUGUGUAUGGGCCUAAAGGCCAAGUUGGUGGUGGAGCUCAUCCUGCAGGGCCGGCCUUGGGCCCAGGUUCUAAAUGCCCUACAUCACCACUUCCCAGAGUCUGGACCUGCAGUGCGGGACCCCAAAAUCACAAAGCAGGAUCUGAGGAAGAUAUCAGAGGCUCAGGAAACCUUUUGCCAGCAGGUGAAGCAGCUGGCAGAAGCCCCUGUUGAUUUGGCUUCGAAGCUGCAGGAACUCGAACAAGAGUAUGGGGAAACUUUUCUGGCUGCCAUGGAAAAGCUGUUUUUUGAAUAUUUGUGUCAGCUGGAAAAAGCACUGCCUAUGCUGCAGGCACAGCAGCUUCAGGAUGUGCUGAGUUGGAUGCAGCCUGGAGUUUCUAUUACUUCUUCUUUUGUCUUGAGCCAAUAUGGCGUGGACAUGGGGUGGCCACUUCCAGAGUGCUCUGCUACUGAUGCAGUGAACACGACAGAGCCUUCAGAGCAGAGUCCUCCUCAGCAACCAAGACCAGCACUCCACGACCCUCUGCCAAAAGCCUCUCCUGGCCCACUGCUUCCUCAGGGACCAGCCUCAAGGAAGCAUCCAGAACCUCUGACCGGCCACCAUUUCAAUCUGGCCCCUCUAGGCCGGCGAAGAAUCCAGUCCCAGUGGGCACCCACUAGCAGAGGCCAUAAGGAGCGCCCCACAGUCAUGCUGCUCCCCUUCAGGGAUGUGGGUUCACCAGCCCAGGUCACAUCUAAGCCUGGGAAGGGCAAAGACGGCACACACCCAGCAGAUCCAGCAGGUGCCAUGGGCACCAGAGCACCCUUGACCGGGAAGUCUAGGAGCCCGUCCAAGACCCUGGGAGGAAGAGCUGUGAAGGGGAAUCCAAUUGACUCAUCUGCCUCGGAGCAAAAGGAGAACUGCGACAUGGACUGCCACAUGAAACCACUAAGAUUGUCAUUAUCACCUCCUAGGAAGUCAGUUUGUCCUCCAUCUCUGUACAGCUCUGACAUUACCAUAGGGGACCUGGUUUUGGACUCGGACGAGGAAGAAGAUAGCCAGAGCGAAGGAAGGGAACCUCUGGAAAACUAUCAGAAGACAAAGUUUGACACCCUGAUCCCUACCUUCUGUGAAUACCUACCCUCUUCUGGCCCCAGCACUGUGUCUAUCCCCUUCCCUGACUGUACAGACAGUUCUAGACUCUUGUGAUAAGACUGAAGUGCCCACGACAUUCUGCCUGUCUUCUUUCUCUCAUACAGUUUAGUGGGGAUAAAGUGGAAGCCUGGGCUUGGGUUGCCUGACUACAAUGCUGAAGUUUCUUUGUAAUGCUUGAUAAUUAAAUUUUGGACUUGUUAAAACAUUGUCUUGGUGCAAGGAAGGGGAAUGAAGCCUUCUCUAAGGUCAGUGUAGGUCACUCUUUAGAAACACAACCAGCCUCUCUGGGGCUGGAAGUGGAUCCUUUUGCCAUUUUACCUCCCUUGGAGAGUGCCGUUCAGACACGCCCAAUUACCAGGGCUAAGAGCCUGGAAGAAAAACUUCCUUUUGCUAUUCUGAAAAUAAUUCUGUGGUCUGAUGCCAGAAUAUACUUUGUAAAUUCUCAUGCUGCCAGGUUCCUUGGGGGUAGCGGCUCUAGAAUGGAGAUAUUUCACAGGAAAGGUACUCACUGUGGCUGACUCCAGUGGGUCAAUGCUUACUCCUGCACUUGCCCUGGGGUAGCACCCAGAUGCCAGCCUUAUGCAGAAAACCCCAGAAUCUUAAAGUCAUUGGGAUCUCUCUUUAUUGAGGUAUUUAAAGUAUGUAAACAAUUCCAUGCUUUGUAGAUAUUCAAAGGUCUAUUUAAUGAAUCUGAUUAACAAAACAUGAUUCUAAAAGCCUACCUCUACCAGAACCAAGGCCACAUAAAACAUUUAUGUAUGAAUCAGCCUCUCUUCUUUUUAAUCAUCUUCAGAAUGCUGGGUCCCCAGAUUCCCACUUGAUUCUCUCAACUUCCUUGUCUCAGCCUACCUGCCUUGCUUCCUCCCCACCGAGUGCCCUCAGCAUUUUGCAUGUGCAGAUAGAGAAGUACAGAAUUACUGCAGGAGCUGUAAGGAGAGGAUAGGAAAUGACCAAGUAAUAAUAGCCUGAGUAGCUGGGAUGAGAGGAGCCCACUUGGGAGCCCUGUGGUGGAUGCUAGAGCCCUGGGAGGGCAGAACUGCUCAGGUCUAGCUCUCAUCACUGAAGAUCGGAUUCACCUGCUGGGUGACACGGAUGAAGGUAGUUCUCCGGCUCAGCUCCUUCAGCUUAGCUGCUCCCACAUAAGUGCAGGUGGAGCGGAUGCCUCCAAGGAUGUCUCGGAUGGUAUGUUCCACGUCCCCUUUAAAGGGCACCUCCACUGUCUUUCCCUCUGAGGCCCUUAGAAGAAGAAAAGCUUGCUUACCUUUUCUCACUGGAUUCCUUACCCUGGUCUCUAGCAUUUAGUCCUUCCCUGUUCAUCACUUUUCUUCCAAAAACUGUACCAUCUAUCUCCCAGCAACCAUGAGUUCUGCCAUCACCCUUCUUGGAAAGUCAUGCUUUCCAAGAACCCUUGGCCUCUGGCCACCACACCUACCUGUACUCAGCCACACCCCCAGCAUACUUCUUCAUGGCCAUUUCGGAGCUCAUGCCGUAGAAGAGCUUGUACUUCCUGCCAUUCCUCUCGAUGAGCUCACCACCUGACUCACUGUGCCCAGCCAGCAUGCCGCCCAGCAUCACGAAGUCAGCCCCUGCCCCUGCCAGCACCAGCGAGAGGGAUCCUCCUUACGUGCCCUCCUUACCGAAAGCCUUGGCCACAUCCCCAGGACAGCUGCAGCCUCCAUCCUGCAAAGUAAGGAGCACUGUGAAGAGACAGCAAGGAUGCCCCAAGCCCUCUAGGAGGUCCCAGCGGCCCAGCUCAAUGCUGACAGGGACCCAGGAACCCUGAUCCAAACUCUACCAGAACCUCUAGAUAUGGAUGAGAACCCAGAUGUUUGGCAGCUUCAUACCCUACCCUGCCCAUGACCUUACUGAAAUGAUGUGGCCUUUGAGGCCAUGAGCAGCAUCUGCACACUCCAUAACUGCACUUAGCUGUGGAUACCCCACUCCGGUCUUCUUCCGGGUGGUACACACGGAGCCUGAGAAGAAUGUGACAAGAAUGAGGAUGAAGUUCUCCACAGGUGUCUGCCACUGGAGGGGUGGCCAGUGACCCCCCAGUGAACCAGCUUACCUGGUCCAAUUCCCACUUUGAUGAUGUCAGCCCCAGAGAGGAUCAGCUCUUCCACCAUUUCCCCUGUUACCACAUUCCCUGCCUGGGACAGAACCAUCAAAACAGCAUUCUCAAGGUCUCCUCUCAGGAAAGAGAGGAGGUCAUGUGCUUCCAACAUUAUUACAAAGAAGAGUCCCUGGGCUCCUUUUUUAGAUGAGUCACUUCAAAGGACCCUGCUUCCCAAGCUGAGGUAAGGGGGUGAGUGGCCAGUGUUACUGUUGUACUAGGGUAAAGUGGGGGUCCAACUGGAAUAAGUUCACACUGGAUUUAUAGUAGAUUCAUCUCUCCCUCCCCACCAAGACACCCAAACAUAUCCUGUGCUUAAGUUGUUAGGUCAUGAAACCUCUCUGGCUUCAGGGGAAGUGGGAGGACAUGGUAAUGUAGGCUAAGUACCCACCUACCCAAUUGUAUUUGCUUUUGAUGAACAGGACAGAGAGACCCCACAAUGCUGUGAAGAAAACAAGGCCUUGUCAUCACUCCCCUGAGCUUGUAAAAAAAUAAAACUGCGUUUGAUACAACCCCUUUAAUGUAA